Drosophila ficusphila is the source of this 414-nucleotide long non-coding RNA. RefSeq lists it as uncharacterized. The record is from RefSeq and is a predicted model, not a curated record. The transcript is spliced from 2 exons. NCBI's taxonomy places the organism in Eukaryota, Metazoa, Arthropoda, Insecta, Diptera, Drosophilidae.
UUAUGCAAUUAGGCAAUUCAAUUCAGGUGCACUGUGAAAUUGGAUAGGAAUUUGUAUCGGCGUGAAAUCGAGUUAUACUGAACUUGUUGGAAAUUUAAAACGGUUUCCAAGUAAAUGCGAAACGUUCCAGUUUUAUUUAAAUAUAAAACCCCAACUUUUUGAAAGCACAAUUCAUUCGCAAAGGAAGUCUCAAUAUCAGAGUUUCAUCAUGAAUUUUUCAACAAUCUUCUUAAUAUGUAUUGCUUUAUAUAAUAGCCCACCCAGAGGAACCUAUAUUGACCCAAAGAAUAAAUAAAAUGCAUUUGCGCAUACAAAAUAAAAAUGCAAGUGCAAUUAAAAAACUAGCUUGUAAACAGCUAUGCUAUGUUUUUAAAAAAACCUUAAACAUUUAAUAAAUAGUUUGGGUAAAAUAUA